AAAAAGAGUACUCGACACUGUGGGUUCGGCUCGCUGCGCCCCCCACAAAGGGGGCUCUCGUCCGAUUGGGUAUGGCCAUCAAGACAUACUCAGUACAUCAUUUUUGGAAACCGGCGUCUGUCGGCUGCCAAUAUACACCA
Small nuclear RNA from Ctenocephalides felis (cat flea), 140 nucleotides. RefSeq annotates it as U11 spliceosomal RNA. The record is from RefSeq and is a predicted model, not a curated record. The transcript has a single exon. NCBI's taxonomy places the organism in Eukaryota, Metazoa, Arthropoda, Insecta, Siphonaptera, Pulicidae.